ACUAAAAUCCGCCGCGUUGGUGCUCGCGCCGUGGUUCACGCGGCGCAGUUCAACGGGAAGCAGGAGUCGAAGCCCAUCGGGCCCAGCCAGCCUGCGCUGCCCCCGCAACGGUCAAGCAGCCGGCACCUCGUGUGCCACUCUCGUCAACAGGCCACUGGGCGCCCUGAAACAGGCACCUGGGAAGGCGGCGAGGGAUGCGCUGCCAGCCCGGAUACCGGCCAACGAGGCGGCGUGCCG
Molecule: non-coding RNA, 237 nt
Filed under: Variovorax sp. JS1663
Lineage: Bacteria; Pseudomonadati; Pseudomonadota; Betaproteobacteria; Burkholderiales; Comamonadaceae
Also listed under: 1 other name
Source: RNAcentral